GGCACGGUCGGGACCUCGGGGACACCUCCCACCCGUGUUGCCCGAACCUAUGUUGCCUCGGCGGGCCCCGCGCCCGCCGACGGCCCCCCUGAACGCUGUCUGAAGUUGCAGUCUGAGACCUAUAACGAAAUUAGUUAAAACUUUCAACAACGGAUCUCUUGGUUCCGGCAUCGAUGAAGAACGCAGCGAAAUGCGAUAACUAAUGUGAAUUGCAGAAUUCAGUGAAUCAUCGAGUCUUUGAACGCACAUUGCGCCCUCUGGUAUUCCGGAGGGCAUGCCUGUCCGAGCGUCAUUGCUGCCCUCAAGCCCGGCUUGUGUGUUGGGCCCCGUCCCCCCCGCCGGGGGGACGGGCCCGAAAGGCAGCGGCGGCACCGCGUCCGGUCCUCGAGCGUAUGGGGCUUCGUCACCCGCUCUAGUAGGCCCGGCCGGCGCCAGCCGACCCCCAACCUUUAAUUAUCUCAGGUUGACCUCGGAUCAGGUAGGGAUACCCGCUGAACUUAAGCAUAUCAAUAAGCGGAGGAA
This 522-nucleotide ribosomal RNA is filed under the name Penicillium citrinum. RNAcentral's name for it is "eukaryotic LSU rRNA". The stretch from base 139 to 292 matches the Rfam family "5.8S ribosomal RNA". Lineage: Eukaryota; Fungi; Ascomycota; Eurotiomycetes; Eurotiales; Aspergillaceae. The record is from RNAcentral.